RNAcentral lists this long non-coding RNA (526 nucleotides) under Physcomitrium patens. Its description in RNAcentral is "long non-coding RNA (PPAT_LNC008248)". Lineage: Eukaryota; Viridiplantae; Streptophyta; Bryopsida; Funariales; Funariaceae. The record is from RNAcentral.
GAGCCUCUGGCCCGCACAGAUUCAUGGCGUUUCGGCACACCUUGUUGCAUCGCAGAGCUUUGCUGACUCGUUAGAUUUCAUGCCCUCGUUAUUCUCCACCGGAACAGCCAUUUCACGGCUUUCGAGACACCUCUUUGACUAGGAAGGAUAGAGCAUCCUUGCGUGGUGCUACUAGCGGGAGUUCUGGAUUGGAGCUUUGUGAGGUUUGAAGUUUGAACGGGAUACGAGGUUUGAGCUUGCUUCUUGCGGAUUUGGCGUUGGUUUAUGGCUCCAGUGAGUGAAUUUCGUUGUAGCGUGCUUAUUUUAGCAUCCGAGGAGCUUUAGUAUUCCGUGAUGUUAGCUCUGGUGGGGAGCUCGUGACUGUGUUGUUGAUUGUCCAUUUGAGGAAUUGAUAGGAUUGAUGAAAUUCAUAUUAUUUUCCACUUUAAUUUGAUGGUCAGAGAUCUUUUGAAGUUCUUCUUUUUAGCUUCUGGAAGAAUUUGUAGUGGAAGAUGGAAUGUUGGCUUUAAUGAUCUCUGUCACCUCC